UGGGACGGUGAGGGGUGCUGUAAAGAA
RNAcentral lists this non-coding RNA (27 nucleotides) under Mus musculus (house mouse). The record is from RNAcentral. Lineage: Eukaryota; Metazoa; Chordata; Mammalia; Rodentia; Muridae.